Molecule: transfer RNA, 71 nt
Filed under: Lachnospiraceae bacterium
Lineage: Bacteria; Bacillati; Bacillota; Clostridia; Lachnospirales; Lachnospiraceae
Description: tRNA-Trp
Rfam family: tRNA
About the family: Transfer RNA (tRNA) molecules are approximately 80 nucleotides in length. Their secondary structure includes four short double-helical elements and three loops (D, anti-codon, and T loops).
Source: RNAcentral
AGGGGUGUAGUUCAGCGGUAGAGCAACAGUCUCCAAAACUGUAAACGGGGGUUCGAUCCCCUCCACCCCUG